GAUGAACGCUAGCGGCAGGCUUAAUACAUGCAAGUCGUGGGGCAGCGCAGUGUAGCAAUACAUGGGCGGCGACCGGCAAACGGGUGCGGAACACGUACGGAACCUUCCUUUAAGUGGGGGAUAGCCCAGGGAAACUUGGAUUAAUACCCCGUAAUACUAUGAAGUGGCAUCACUUUAUAAUUAUAGCUCCGGCGCUUAAAGAUGGGCGUGCGCCUGAUUAGGUAGUUGGCGGGGUAACGGCCCACCAAGCCUUCGAUCAGUAACUGGUGUGAGAGCACGACCAGUCACACGGGCACUGAGACACGGGCCCGACUCCUACGGGAGGCAGCAGUAAGGAAUAUUGGUCAAUGGACGCAAGUCUGAACCAGCCAUGCCGCGUGGAGGAUGAAGGUCCUCUGGAUUGUAAACUUCUUUUAUUUGGGAAGAAACCCACGAUUUCUAUUGUGGUUGACGGUACCAGAUGAAUAGCACCGGCUAACUCCGUGCCAGCAGCCGCGGUAAUGU
This 504-nucleotide ribosomal RNA is filed under the name uncultured bacterium. RNAcentral describes it as "bacterial SSU rRNA". It matches the Rfam family "Bacterial small subunit ribosomal RNA", at positions 28 to 526 of the family's 1533-position model. The record is from RNAcentral.